Molecule: ribosomal RNA, 252 nt
Filed under: uncultured bacterium
Lineage: Bacteria
Description: partial 16S ribosomal RNA
Rfam family: Bacterial small subunit ribosomal RNA
Source: RNAcentral
GCAAGUCUACGAGAACGAGGUAGCAAUAUCUUUAUUAAAGUGGCGCACGGGUGAGUAACACGUAAGUAACCUACCUUUAGAUUUGGAAUAACCCCGAGAAAUCGGGGCUAAUACCAAAUGAUGCAGCGGCACCACAAGGUGAUGUUGUUAAAGUCUAUAUGACGUCUAAAGAUGGGCUUGCGUCUGAUUAGCUAGUUGGUGAGGUAACGGCCCACCAAGGCUACGAUCAGUAGCUGGUCUGAGAGGAUGAUC